Equus asinus (donkey) is the source of this 4840-nucleotide long non-coding RNA. NCBI's taxonomy places the organism in Eukaryota, Metazoa, Chordata, Mammalia, Perissodactyla, Equidae. The record is from Ensembl.
AUUGGAAUCAUCUGAGGAACUUAAAAAAAUACUGACACUUGGAUCCAGAGAUCCUGAUUUAGUUGGUGUGGGAUGGGGCCAGGGCUUCUAAUUUUAACGUGCAGCUGAGAUUAGAGACAUCGUAAAUGCUUUCAAGUGUUGAGAGUAACUGAUCAGGGAUCUUCUAUUGACAAGCUCUCUUCUCCCCAUCCCCACCCUAUUCACUUUGCUAAUAGAAAAAGGACUUUAAUUCAGAAAUGAAGAGAGACAUCAGCUGGGCUUUCAAAGGCAGGGAGGAAAUCCUCGUGGCUUAUAAAAGCCACUCUAAAGACUCUUGCAGACAUCUUGUGAACAGUUUGUAGGUCUGGGCAGAGGCGUGCCUGUAGCCGAGAGGGGUGGAGCCGGGAUAGUAACGAGUUGUCUGUCGUUGGACAAGUUGUAAGAGUCUCCAGAAGUUAAAGGAGUCUUAGGAAAUAUGGGUCUUGAUAGAUAAGAGGCAUGUAAUAGGAAAUAGGGGAUACUGUGGCAAACUGGAGACUGGGCACCCCCGAAGAAGGGCAGCUCAUGCUGUCAUGCAAAAAUAGGAGCCAGGUGGUGGAAGAUGUCCUAAUUUUUCAAGAUGAGAAAAAAUGAGUCAGAGAGGUGAAGUGACUUUAUCAAGAUUGCACAGCUAGUUCCUGCAGAAGCCAAGUCAACAGAAGCUGGAAAACUGUCUUGCUGUUUUAUCCUGCCCCCUUGAUGAUGAUCUUUAACUCCAACUGGAUUAUGAGUCACGAGGCCGGGGAUCAUACACAUAAUACACAUCUCAUACACAUGAGUAGAGUGCCUUGUCCAUGGCACCCUGCAAUAAACCGUCUCAAUGUCCACGUCUGGCCCUGUUGGGGUUUGAUUGCACAGGAAAGCAGAGGAAUGUUAGAAUCCUUGGAAGAAUCCAACACAAAGCGAUGUCUAUUUGAAGCCACAUGUCUUUUGAGGAAAAUAAUAAGACUUUAAAUGGAGCCUUCAAAGCUUGCUGAUGACAUCAGAGGAGUCACUGUGUGAUGAGAGAGGUCUCAAAAAUACUAUAAAGCACACCACAGGGAUCUGAAGAGCUCUUCUGAGCCCAGCAUGGAGCCCAGCCUAAAGCAAGAGGAGAAAACCCCAAGGUGCAGACUGAGAAAGAUCCUGGAGCCACACAGCCUGAUCCUGAGAUACUGCUUGGAUUACUCACUGAGCCCAAGGCUGAGGGCAGGAGAUGUUUUACACCACAUAUACUUCUCCCAGGGCUAUGUGCCUAUCUACAUGACCUGGGAAAGGGGGUCAAGGCUGUUCUGUUCAGGACUGAGAUACUGAUUGGCUCUGGAAAAUGUGUUUUAGGGUAGCCAGUAGGUUGAAGAUUAUGUCUUGGCCUUAGAAGUACCAAUCCAAGUCCAGAAUGUUCACACAAACUGGUAAAAAUCUGUUUCCUAGAUGCCAUGAGGAGGCCCCAGUGCUGGUUCCAGAGACCUUAAGGACAGGUGUCCUGGAGGGUUCUUAGCCACUAUGAAGACUGUAGAGAUAUUCCCAGAGUAAGAGAGGUGUUACAUCUAGAAGAGGGCAGUGGACAGCUAUAUGUCCACAUAGGAAAACAUGUCCUGAGAUGGGAUACACAAAGGGUACACAUACAGAGUCAGGAUAACAUUCAAUAUUCACUUGGCAAUGACAAUUGUCCAUGGGAGAAGAUGACUUGUGUGGUUUUAGGGAAUAGUGAUGGGGUGGAUUAGGCCUGGUUGUAGUGAUGGGGUGGAGAAGAGCAUCACCAGGUCCCUUAGGGAUAGUUUCCAAGACUUCUGGGAAGUGAGGUGGCAGAACAAGAGCAUCACUGCACACUUGAGAGUUGAACAUGAUGGGCAUGGAUAAUUGGAAGAGAACUGAAGAGGGCGGAGAAAACAGGGACUCUGGAUUCUGCAAGUCAUAGUGAUUUCCUCAGCAUUCUCUGACAAUAGGAUGCCAGCAAAGUCACCCAAAACUCAAUCAGAUUGUGAGUGACAAAUUCAGCACCAAAAUACGUUUUCACUGUGAACUGCUAUCUGGGACAGUUAAUACAAGACUAUUCAGGGAUCUCUGUUUAUACAGACAAUGAGCCAUUUGACUUUUCCCUAUUGUCUCUGUAUACAGCUUUGACUUUCACGUGGGUCUGCCAGUCUUCUUACAUAUCUUCCAUUAUUAGCUGAUGAGCACCUGUUCAAUUUCUAUUUUUUUUGGUCCCUCUAUCCAUGAUUUCAUAGUCAUAUAUCUUUGUGGAUGGCCCCUAAUACUCCCUGACAUUUACAUCCUUGUAUAGUCCCCUCCUACAUUGAUUCUUUGCUUCUUUAAAAACAAAAUUCAGUGGAAGUGAUAAUAUGUGACUUCAAAGCUAGGUCAUAAAGUCAUUGUGGCUUCCAACUUACUCCUUCUUAGAUUGCUUGUUCUGGGGGAAGCCAGAGCAUUCAAGAAUUCCUGUAAAGAAGCCCACAUAAAGAAGGAUUGAGGCUUCCAACCAUUACCCAAAACCCAACCAUUACACCAACACCACGUAAGGAAGCCACCUGAGAAGUGGAUUCCAAGCCUACAGACGGCUACAUCCCUGGCCAAUAUCUGAUUGCAGCCUUGCAAGAGAUCUUGAACCAGAGCCAUCCAGCUGCUCCUGAAUUUCUGACCCCUAGAAAGAGAGAUAAUGGUGAUCAUUGUUUUAAACCACUAAGUUUUGGAAUUACUUAUUAUGUAGCAAUAGUUAACUAAUAGGAAAGAGGACAAGAGCACAGAGGGGAAGGGCAAAGAGGCAGUGAAUCGCUCCAAGGCAGUGUGACUGAGACUUGAUUGACAAACUGGAAACAUGUGGUUGGCCAUAUUUCAGUAUUGCUAUGGACCAGUGACUCCUGUGCACCUCCCAUUUUCCCAUGUUGGUCGAAAAGUGGUUGUCCUAUGUCUCUCCCACCAACAUAUGUUGGGUGAGUUGGAGCAGAAAACUGGUCUUUUCAGUUCAGAGGUGUUCAACUCAACAGAAGCUGUACAUGAGCAGCUGAACUCAAGGAACCACACCUGCAACACUUCAUCCACAUCUAGAUCUGAGUAAAAUGGAUGGUGAACCUGAGUCUGGUGCCGUAAUAAAUGAAACCUGUGGAGGAGCUUGGGAAGGUCUGAGUGUAUUUUGCAUACAGAAGGAAUGUAGAUAAUUUGUGGCCAGUGGACAGAUGGUAGUAGUUUUAAAACAUAUUCACAAAUUCUUUGAAUCCUCCCACAAAAAGUGGAGUUUAAUUCCCUACCCUUUGAAUAUAAAUCAGUUUUAGAUACCUGCUUCUAAUUAGUAGAAUGCAGUUGAAGUGAUGUUACAUGACUUAGAAAGCUAGGUUAGAAAAGAUGAUAAAGUUCCCAUCCUGGCUCUCAGUCUGUACUUUUGCCCUUGGAGCUUUUGAAACCCAGUCAUCAUGUUGUGAGGCAGCCCAGGCCACAUAGGGAAACCACAUGUAAGUUUUCUGGCUAAUAGCCCCAGCUGAGGUUCGAGCAAUACCUUCCAAACAUGUGAGUGAGAGUGCUUUCAGAUGAUUCCAGCCUUUUGUGCUCACAGCUGAUGCCAGCUGGAGCAGAAACUAAAUUAUCCCCACCAAGCCCUGCUCAAAUUGUAGAUUUAUAAGCAAAGUAAAUGUUGUCAUUGUUUUAAAACACUAAGUUUAGGAGUCAUUUGUUAGGCAGCCACAGUAACUGUGACAAGAUCCUCUGUCUUUUCUUUCUUGGCUCCCCCAAUUUUUUUCAUCUUGGAGAGAAACCUGAGACACAUUCUGGGGUCCCUUUUCAUUAUUUUCUCCUUUGAGGUAGGGUACCAUUAGUCUCACCCAAUGGAAAAAGAAAAUGUAAAGACAUUGUCCAUUUGAGAAGGACAUGCCCAUAUUAAAUCAACUUUCAUUCUCUGUGUCAAGGGUGUAUUGUGAGAAAUUCUCCCUCAGUGUCCCAGCUCUCAUAUAACUAUGGUAACACAGCAACUGUCUCAAAGUGGCAAAUACCUUAGCGAGGUAAUCCAGUUUAUAUUUAUAACCUCAGGGAUAUUUCUCAAUAAGAGUAUGUAUUCCCAAAUGCACCAAGUACUUGAUAAAGAAUUGGACAGCAAUAGCCUUUCCUACCAUUUUUAAUAAACCUACAUAAUUCUCUAGCCAGGGGUCAUAUGCUAAUUCACCCUGUCUCUUAUGAUGCAACUUCACUCAAUAAAACUGUCAUCCCUUCUUCAUGAAAAAGGACAUCCUAAGCUUUUAAAGGCUCCUCUGCAUGUUGAUGAUAGCACUCAUGUAGGGAGCUAGAUCUCAUAUGUAAUCUGGUACCUCUUUCCAGUGAUGGCCUCCUUUAGUCCCCUGUAUAAUGUGCUAUAUGAAAUUAGUUUCAAACUGCCUCCAUAGCUGCAAUACCAGCCAUUCUUCUUUCCUUCUGGAAUAACUUCCCCUGUCUCUGAAGUGGCCAUGUGUCUUGUCCUGUUGGCAACACUGAAGGUAGUGGUAGGGGUCUUUCCCCGUGGCAUCUCCAGGAUAAGUCAUUGGUUCUACCAGCUUCCCUGGAUGCAGUGAGAGAGUCUUUCCUGUUUUCUCCCUUCUCCUAAGGGCUCAAAAAUACUUAGAAAUGCAGAGUAACCAGGGCAUCAAUUCAUGAACCAUGUUAUCUUCCCUCAUAGCCCUCUCAUAGCACUUCCACCUUCUGCCAUGUCCCUCAGGAACCAUCCUGUCACCAACCAUCCAACCUCAGCCAAGUGACCUUGCCACUGCUCCCAUGGGGAUGUCUUAUAGCCCUUUCCAGUUAGCCUCUUUCCAUAAUUUAAAAAAACCAUAAUACCAAAUCAACUGGCACUGGCAGGGACCCCAUAGUAAAUCCCAAACAUCAG